GACGAACGCUGGCGGCGUGCCUAACACAUGCAAGUUGAGCGACGAACCAGGGCUUGCCCUGGGGCAAAGCAGCGAACGGGUGAGUAACACGUGGGUAACCUACCCCGAUAACCGGGACAACCCGAGGAAACUCGGGCUAAUACCGGAUGUGCUCACUGGACUUCGGUUCAGUGCGUAAAGGAAGCUUCGGCCUCCGUAUCGGGAGGGGCCCGCGGCCCAUUAGUUUGUUGGUGAGGUAACGGCUCACCAAGACCGCGAUGGGUAGCUGGUCUGAGAGGACGAUCAGCCACACUGGGACUGAGACACGGCCCAGACUCCUACGGGAGGCAGCAGUGGGGAAUCUUGCGCAAUGCGCGAAAGCGUGACGCAGCAACGCCGCGUGGGGGAAGAAGGCCUUCGGGUUGUAAAACCCUUUCAGGAGGGACGAAGGUACGGCGGUGAAUAGCCGUCCGGACUGACGGUACCUCCACAAGAAGCCCCGGCUAACUACGUG
This 493-nucleotide ribosomal RNA is filed under the name uncultured bacterium. RNAcentral describes it as "partial 16S ribosomal RNA". It matches the Rfam family "Bacterial small subunit ribosomal RNA", at positions 28 to 507 of the family's 1533-position model. The record is from RNAcentral.